RNAcentral lists this ribosomal RNA (447 nucleotides) under uncultured bacterium. Its description in RNAcentral is "partial 16S ribosomal RNA". It matches the Rfam family "Bacterial small subunit ribosomal RNA", at positions 29 to 523 of the family's 1533-position model. The record is from RNAcentral.
AACGAACGCUGGCGGCAGGCUUAACACAUGCAAGUCGAACGCCCCGCAAGGGGAGUGGCAGACGGGUGAGUAACGCGUGGGAACAUACCCUUUCCUGCGGAAUAGCUCUGGGAAACUGGAAUUAAUACCGCAUACGCCCUACGGGGGAAAGAUUUAUCGGGGAAGGAUUGGCCCGCGUUGGAUUAGCUAGUGGGUGGGGUAAGGGCCUACCAAGGCGACGAUCCAUAGCUGGUCUGAGAGGAUGAUCAGCCACAUUGGGACUGAGACACGGCCCAAAGUCCUACGGGAGGCGGCAGUGGGGAAUAUUGGACAAUGGGCGCAAGCUUGAUCCAGCCAUGCCGCGUGGGUGAUGAAGGCCUUAGGGUUGUAAAGCUCUUUCACCGAUGAAGAUAAUGACGGUAGUCGGAGAAGAAGCCCCGGCUAACUUCGUGCCAGCCGCCGCCGUAA